RNAcentral lists this ribosomal RNA (474 nucleotides) under uncultured bacterium. Its description in RNAcentral is "bacterial SSU rRNA". It matches the Rfam family "Bacterial small subunit ribosomal RNA", at positions 8 to 474 of the family's 1533-position model. The record is from RNAcentral.
AGAGUUUGAUCAUGGCUCAGAUUGAACGCUGGCGGCAUGCUUAAUACAUGCAAGUCGAACGGUAACAGAUUCUUCGGAAUGCUGACGAGUGGCGGACGGGUGAGUAAUACAUAGGAAUCUGCCCAUGUAGUGGGGGACAACUUGGGGAAACUCAAGCUAAUACCGCAUAAUUCCUACGGGAUAAAGAGGGCCACUGCUUGCAAGCUCUUGCUACUGGAUGAGCCUAUGUCGGAUUAGUUAGUUGGUAAGGUAAUGGCUUAUCAAGACAGCGAUCCGUAGCUGGUUUGAGAGGAUGAUCAGCCACACUGGGACUGAGACACGGCCCAGACUCCUACGGGAGGCAGCAGUAGGGAGUAUUGGACAAUGGGCGCAAGCCUGAUCCAGCAAUGCCGCGUGUGUGAAGAAGGCCUGCGGGUUGUAAAGCACUUUCAAUUGGGAAGAAAGAUUAUGAGUUAAUACCUUAUAAUAUUGACG